UAAUACGGAGGAUCCGAGCGUUAUCCGGAUUUAUUGGGUUUAAAGGGUGCGCAGGCGGGUUAUUAAGUCGGUGGUGAAAAUCCGGGGCUCAACCCCGGGCUUGCCAUCGAAACUGGUUACCUUGAGUGUGGGUGGGGCAGGCGGAAUUCGUGGUGUAGCGGUGAAAUGCAUAGAUAUCACGAGGAACUCCUAUCGCGUAGGCAGCUUGCCAUUCCAUAACUGACGCUCAUGCACGAAGGCGUGGGGAUCAAACAGGAUUAGAUACCCUGGUAGUCCACGCGGUAAACGAUGAUUACUGGUUGUUCGCGAUACACUGUGAGCGACUGAGCGAAAGCGUUAAGUAAUCCACCUGGGGAGUACGUUCGC
This 366-nucleotide ribosomal RNA is filed under the name uncultured bacterium. RNAcentral describes it as "bacterial SSU rRNA". It matches the Rfam family "Bacterial small subunit ribosomal RNA", at positions 521 to 889 of the family's 1533-position model. The record is from RNAcentral.